Molecule: ribosomal RNA, 253 nt
Filed under: uncultured bacterium
Lineage: Bacteria
Description: partial 16S ribosomal RNA
Rfam family: Bacterial small subunit ribosomal RNA
Source: RNAcentral
UACGGGGGGGGCAAGCGUUGUUCGGAUUUACUGGGCGUAAAGGGCGCGUAGGCGGCGCGGUAAGUCACUUGUGAAAUCUCUGAGCUUAACUCAGAACGGCCAAGUGAUACUGCAGUGCUAGAGUGUGGAAGGGGCAAUCGGAAUUCCUGGUGUAGCGGUGGAAUGCGCAGAUAUCAGGAGGAACACCGGUGGCGAAGGCGGGUCUCUGGGCCGAUACUGACGCUGAGGAGCGAAAGCGUGGGGAGCGAACAGG